RNAcentral lists this ribosomal RNA (427 nucleotides) under uncultured bacterium. Its description in RNAcentral is "partial 16S ribosomal RNA". It matches the Rfam family "Bacterial small subunit ribosomal RNA", at positions 355 to 774 of the family's 1533-position model. The record is from RNAcentral.
UGGGGAAUAUUGCACAAUGAGCGCAAGCCUGAUGCAGCCAUGCCGCGUGUAUGAAGAAGGCCUUCGGGUUGUAAAGUACUUUCAGCGAGGAGGAAGGCGUUGUGGUUAAUAACCGCAACGAUUGACGUUACUCGCAGAAGAAGCACCGGCUAACUCCGUGCCAGCAGCCGCGGUAAUACGGAGGGUGCAAGCGUUAAUCGGAAUUACUGGGCGUAAAGCGCACGCAGGCGGUCUGUCAAGUCGUAUGUGAAAUCCCCGGGCUCAACCUGGGAACUGCAUCCGAAACUGGCAGGCUAGAGUCUUGUAGAGGGGGGUAGAAUUCCAGGUGUAGCGGUGAAAUGCGUAGAGAUCUGGAGGAAUACCGGUGGCGAAGGCGGCCCCCUGGACAAAGACUGACGCUCAGGUGCGAAAGCGUGGGGAGCAAACA